This 562-nucleotide ribosomal RNA is filed under the name Phomopsis sp. 2 JRUT-2013. RNAcentral describes it as "eukaryotic LSU rRNA". The stretch from base 210 to 363 matches the Rfam family "5.8S ribosomal RNA". The record is from RNAcentral. Lineage: Eukaryota; Fungi; Ascomycota; Sordariomycetes; Diaporthales; Diaporthaceae.
GUCUCCGUUGGUGAACCAGCGGAGGGAUCAUUGCUGGAACGCGCCCCUGGCGCACCCAGAAACCCUUUGUGAACUUAUACCUUACUGUUGCCUCGGCGCAGGCCGUCCCCUAACGGGGUCCCUUUUGUCUCAAAAGGAGCAGCCGGCCGGUGGCCAAAUUAACUCUGUUUUUAAACUGAAACUCUGAGUAAAAAACAUAAAUGAAUCAAAACUUUCAACAACGGAUCUCUUGGUUCUGGCAUCGAUGAAGAACGCAGCGAAAUGCGAUAAGUAAUGUGAAUUGCAGAAUUCAGUGAAUCAUCGAAUCUUUGAACGCACAUUGCGCCCUCUGGUAUUCCGGAGGGCAUGCCUGUUCGAGCGUCAUUUCAACCCUCAAGCCUGGCUUGGUGUUGGGGCACUGCUUUCUAACGAGAGCAGGCCCUGAAAUAUAGUGGCGAGCUCGCCAGGACUCCGAGCGUAGUAGUUAAACCCUCGCUUUGGAAGGCCAGGCGGUGCCCUGCCGUUAAACCCCAACUUCUGAAAAUUUGACCUCGGAUCAGGUAGGAAUACCCGCUGAACUUAA